Molecule: long non-coding RNA, 4344 nt
Filed under: Oncorhynchus mykiss (rainbow trout)
Lineage: Eukaryota; Metazoa; Chordata; Actinopteri; Salmoniformes; Salmonidae
Description: lncRNA (ENSOMYG00000077333.1)
Source: RNAcentral
CCUGACGGCAGCAAUGAAUUCUUCAGCAGCAGGAUUAAUACGCGCUCCUCCGGCUCAGAGGCUCCAGAGACUCAGAGACUCCAGAGACUCAGAGACUCAGAGACUCCAGACUCAGAGACUCCAGAGGCUCCAGAGACUCCAGAGACUCAGAGACUCAGAGACUCCAGAGACUCAGAGACUCAGAGACACCAGACUCAGAGACUCCAGAGGCUCCAGAGACUCAGAGACUCCAGAGACUCCAGAUACUCAGGGACUCCAGAGACUCAGACACUCCAGACUCAGAGACUCCAGAGGCUCCAGAGACUCCAGAGACUCAGAGACUCAGAGACUCAGAGACUCCAGAGACUCCAGAGACUCAGACACUCCAGAGACUCCAGAGACUCAGACACUCCAGAGACUCCAGAGACUCCAGAGACUCAGACACUCCAGAGACUCCAGAGACUCCAGAGACUCCAGAGGCUCCAGAGACUCAAACACUCCAGAGACUCCAGAGACUCAGACACUCCAGAGACUCCAGAGACUCAGACACUCCAGAGACUCCAGAGACUCCAGAGGCUCCAGAGACUCCAGAGACUCAGAGACUCCAGAGACUCCAGAGACUCAGACACUCCAGAGACUUCAGAGACUCAGACACUCCAGAGACUCAGAGACUCCAGAGACUCAGACACUCCAGAGACUCAGACACUCCAGAGACUCCAGAGACUAAGAGACUCAGACACUCCAGAGACUCCAGAGACUCAGACACUCCAGAGACCCCAGAGACUCCAGAGACUCAGGGACUCAGACACUCCAGAGACUCCAGAGACUCCAGAGACUCCAGAGACUCAGACACUCCAGAGACUCAGACACUCCAGAGACUCCAGAGACUCAGACACUCCAGAGACUCAGACACUCCAGAGACUCCAGAGACUCAGACACUCCAGAGACUCAGACACUCCAGAGGCUCCAGAGACUCAAACACUCCAGAGACUCCAGAGACUCAGACACUCCAGAGACUCAGACACUCAGACACUCCAGAGCCUCAGAGACUCAGACACUCCAGAGACUCCAGAGACUCAGACACUCCAGAGACUCAGACACUCCAGAGACUCCAGAGACUCAGACACUCCAGAGACUCAGACACUCCAGAGACUCAGAGACUCAGAGACUCCAGAGACUCAGACACUCCAGAGACUCAGAGACUCAGACACUCCAGAGACUCAGACACUCCAGAGACUCCAGAGACUCCAGAGACUCCAGAGACUCAGACACUCCAGAGACUCAGACACUCCAGAGACUCAGAGACUCAGAGACUCAGACACUCCAGACACUCCAGAGACUCAGACACUCCAGAGACUCCAGAGACUCCAGAGACUCCAGAGACUCCAGAGACUCAGACACUCCAGAGACUCAGACACUCCAGAGACUCAGAGACUCAGAGACUCAGACACUCCAGACACUCCAGAGACUCAGACACUCCAGAGACUCCAGAGACUCCAGAGACUCAGACACUCCAGAGACUCCAGAGACUCAGACACUCCAGAGACUCAGACACUCCAGAGACUCCAGAGACUCCAGAGACUCCAGAGACUCCAGAGACUCCAGAGACUCAGACACUCCAGAGACUCAGACACUCCAGAGACUCAGAGACUCAGACACUCCAGAGACUCAGACACUCCAGAGACUCCAGAGACUCCAGAGACCCAGACACUCCAGAGACUCAGAGACUCCAGAGACUCAGAGACUCAGACACUACAGAGACUCAGACACUCCAGAGACUCCAGAGACUCCAGACACUCCAGAGACUCAGAGACUCAGACACUCCAGAGACUCAGACACUCCAGAGACUCCAGAGACUCCAGACACUCCAGAGACUCCAGAGACUCAGACACUCCAGAGACUCCAGAGACUCCAGAGGCUCCAGAGACUCCAGAGACUCAGACACUCCAGAGACUCAGAGACUCAGACACUCCAGAGACUCAGACACUCCAGAGACUCCAGAGACUCCAGAGACCCAGACACUCCAGAGACUCAGAGACUCCAGAGACUCAGACACUCCAGAGACUCAGACACUCCAGAGACUCCAGAGACUCCAGACACUCCAGAGACUCAGAGACUCAGACACUCCAGAGACUCAGACACUCCAGAGACUCCAGAGACUCCAGACACUCCAGAGACUCCAGAGACUCAGACACUCCAGAGACUCCAGAGACUCCAGAGGCUCCAGAGACUCCAGAGACUCAGAGACUCCAGAGACUCCAGAGACUCAGACACUCCAGAGACUUCAGAGACUCAGACACUCCAGAGACUCAGAGACUCCAGAGACUCAGACACUCCAGAGACUCAGACACUCCAGAGACUCCAGAGACUCCAGAGACUAAGAGACUCAGACACUCCAGAGACUCCAGAGACUCAGACACUCCAGAGACCCCAGAGACUCCAGAGACUCAGGGACUCAGACACUCCAGAUACUCCAGAGACUCCAGAGACUCCAGAGACUCAGACACUCCAGAGACUCAGACACUCCAGAGACUCCAGAGACUCAGACACUCCAUAGACUCAGACACUCCAGAGACUCCAGAGACUCAGACACUCCAGAGACUCAGACACUCCAGAGGCUCCAGAGACUCAAACACUCCAGAGACUCCAGAGACUCAGACACUCCAGAGACUCAGACACUCAGACACUCCAGAGACUCAGAGACUCAGACACUCCAGAGACUCCAGAGACUCAGACACUCCAGAGACUCAGACACUCCAGAGACUCCAGAGACUCAGACACUCCAGAGACUCAGACACUCCAGAGACUCAGAGACUCAGAGACUCCAGAGACUCAGACACUCCAGAGACUCAGAGACUCAGACAUUCCAGAGACUCAGACACUCCAGAGACUCCAGAGACUCCAGAGACUCCAGAGACUCAGACACUCCAGAGACUCAGACACUCCAGAGACUCAGAGACUCAGAGACUCAGACACUCCAGACACUCCAGAGACUCAGACACUCCAGAGACUCCAGAGACUCCAGAGACUCCAGAGACUCCAGAGACUCAGACACUCCAGAGACUCAGACACUCCAGAGACUCAGAGACUCAGAGACUCAGACACUCCAGACACUCCAGAGACUCAGACACUCCAGAGACUCCAGAGACUCCAGAGACUCCAGAGACUCAGACACUCCAGAGACUCCAGAGACUCAGACACUCCAGAGACUCAGACACUCCAGAGACUCCAGAGACUCCAGAGACUCCAGAGACUCAGACACUCCAGAGACUCAGACACUCCAGAGACUCAGAGACUCAGACACUCCAGAGACUCAGACACUCCAGAGACUCCAGAGACUCCAGAGACCCAGACACUCCAGAGACUCAGAGACUCCAGAGACUCAGAGACUCAGACACUCCAGAGACUCAGACACUCCAGAGACUCCAGAGACUCCAGACACUCCAGAGACUCCAGAGACUCAGACACUCCAGAGACUCAGACACUCCAGAGACCCAGAGACUCAGACACUCCAGAGACUCAGACACUUCAGAGACUCAGACACUCCAGAGACUCAGAGACUCAGACACUCCAGAGACUCAGACACUCCAGAGACUCCAGAGACUCCAGACACUCCAGAGACUCCAGAGACUCAGACACUCCAGAGACUCAGACACUCCAGAGACCCAGAGACUCAGACACUCCAGAGACUCAGACACUCCAGAGACUCAGAGACUCAGAGACUCAGAGACUCCAGAGACUCAGAGACUCAGAGACUCAGAGACUCAGAGACUCCAGAGACUCAGACACUCCAGAGACUCAGAGACUCCAGAGACUCAGACACUCCAGAGACUCAGAGACUCAGAGACUCAGAGACUCAGAGACUCAGAGACUCAGAGACUCCAGAGACUUAGAGACUCCAGAGACUCAGACACUCCAGAGACUCAGAGACUCCAGAGACUCAGACACUCCAGAGACUCAGAGACUCAGAGACUCAGAGACUCAGACACUCCAGAGACUCAGAGACUCAGAGACUCAGACACUCCAGAGACUCAGAGACUCAGAGACUCCAGAGACUCAGACACUCCAGAGACUCAGAGACUCAGAGACUCAGACACUCCAGAGACUCAGAGACUCAGAGACUCAGACACUCCAGAGACUCAGACACUCCAGAGACUCCAGAGACUCAGAGACUCAGACACUCCAGAGACUCAGACACUCCAGAGACUCAGAGACUCAGACACUCCAGAGACUCAGAAUCUCAGACACUCCAGAGACUCAGAGACUCAGACACUCCAGAGACUCAGAGACUCAGACACUCCAGAGACUCAGACACUCCAGAGACUCCAGAGACUCAGAGACUCAGAGACUCAGACACUCCAGAGA